AAUACAUAGUUGGGAAUAGGUGCAGAAAUGCAUAAUAGAGAAGUCGGUGUAAGUCCGACACGAUCCCGUCACUGUAAGGCUGAGCGAAUCUCAUUUAAGUCACUGGGUAACACUGGGAAGGCGAGAGGAGCGGUGAAGCUAAGUCAGGAGAACUGCCUAUUCAUCAUUCACCAU
Molecule: non-coding RNA, 174 nt
Filed under: Veillonella sp.
Lineage: Bacteria; Bacillati; Bacillota; Negativicutes; Veillonellales; Veillonellaceae
Source: RNAcentral